AGUGAACGCUGGCGGUAGGCCUAAUACAUGCAAGUCGAGCGACCACACAGUGAGCGUUCGCCCCUACGGGUGGCGGCGGACGGACGAGUGAGGAGUACAUAAGCAACCUAUUAUUCUUGGAUGACAACGUGAAGCCACUUCUACUACUACCGCAUACAUCGUACGGGAUGAAUCAAUAGUUAAUCACGGCUUUGCCGUUACAUAUAGACGAGGUCGCAUUAGCUAGUUGGCGGGGUAAAGGCCCACCAAGGCAACGAUCCGUAGCUGGCCUGAGAGGAUGAUCAGCCACACUGGAACUGAGACACGGUCCAGACUCCUACGGGAGGCAGCAGUAGGGAAUAUUCGACAAUGGGCGAAAGCCUGACGGAGCAAUACCGCGUGGGUGAAGAAGGUCUUCGGGUUGUAAAACUCUGUUGUUAGGAAAGAAAAAAAGUGUAUGUAACCACCGCCGUUUUGACGGUACCUAAACAAUAAGCACCGGCUAACUACGUG
RNAcentral lists this ribosomal RNA (492 nucleotides) under uncultured bacterium. Its description in RNAcentral is "partial 16S ribosomal RNA". It matches the Rfam family "Bacterial small subunit ribosomal RNA", at positions 29 to 507 of the family's 1533-position model. The record is from RNAcentral.